RNAcentral lists this long non-coding RNA (769 nucleotides) under Pan troglodytes (chimpanzee). RNAcentral's name for it is "long non-coding RNA NONPTRT007641". Lineage: Eukaryota; Metazoa; Chordata; Mammalia; Primates; Hominidae. The record is from RNAcentral.
UUCCUGCCUGAGAGCAUCAUGCUGCGUGUGGACCUGUGUGCAGGAUAACACAUGGGCAGUGUUGUGUGUAGACCUGUGUGCAGGAUAACACAUGGGCAGUGUUGCGUGUGGACGUGUUGCAGGAUAACACAUGGGCAGUGUUGCGUGUGGACCUGUGUGCAGGAUAACACAUGGGCAGUGUUGCGUGUGGACGUGUUGCAGGAUAACACACGGGCAGUGUUGCGUGUGGACGUGUGUGCAGGAUAACACACGGGCAGUGUUGCGUGUGGACCUGUGUGCAGGAUAACACACGGGCAGUGUUGCGUGUGGACGUGUGUGCAGGAUAACACACGGGCAGUGUUGCGUGUGGACGUGUGUGCAGGAUAACACACGGGCAGUGUUGUGUGUGGACCUGUGUGCAGGAUAACACACGGGCAGUGUUGCGUGUGGACGUGUUGCAGGAUAACACACGGGCAGUGUUGCGUGUGGACGUGUUGCAGGAUAACACACGGGCAGUGUUGCGUGUGGACGUGUUGCAGGAUAACACGGGCAGUGUUGCGUGUGGACGUGUGUGCAGGAUAACACAUGGGCAGUGCUGAGGACAGGGCACGGCUCUUCAUGCAGCAGCUCACUCAGGGCAGCAAGCUUGGAGCAGGUACUCCUGGGGACAGGGACACAGGCUCAGUGAUUCAGGGCCCCCGAAUGGCCUGGACAGGGAAGGUCUUUUGUGUAACCCCCAUGACAGGCAAGGCAGCAGCAACGCUUCACCAUGUUUCCAGACAGACUUGGG